UCUCGUGGUGCGCCGUUUUUUAAGCCCGUCGGAAAAGCGCAGUAUUCGGGUGGGAGUGACCCGAUUUUCCAGGUGCUGUCCGUCACCCCUUUCUUUGAUUAGGAAAGGAACUCCCUGACCCCUUGCGCUUCCCGAGUGAGGCAAUGCCUCGCCCUGCUUCGGCUCGCGCACGGUGCGCGCACCCACUGACCUGCGCCCACUGUCUGGCACUCCCUAGUGAGAUGAACCCGGUACCUCAGAUGGAAAUGCAGAAAUCACCCGUCUUCUGCGUCGCUCAGGCUGGGAGCUGUAGACUGGAGCUGUUCCUUUUCGGCCAUCUUGGCGCCUCCCUCAGCCCACAUGUGAAUCACAGCUUCUACUGCAUGCCCACUCCUUUUGCCUAAAUAUGCAGUUAUCAUCAUACAUCCAGAAUUGCCCUCUGUCCCGGGCUGCAUACAUCAUCAGAGGAGAAUGUUGAUCACCUGUUUCCAAGCCUUGGCAAGGCAAUUCAGGAUAAAUGU
This 500-nucleotide long non-coding RNA is filed under the name Homo sapiens (human). Its description in RNAcentral is "novel transcript, sense overlapping to STPG2". The record is from RNAcentral. Lineage: Eukaryota; Metazoa; Chordata; Mammalia; Primates; Hominidae.